Molecule: ribosomal RNA, 493 nt
Filed under: uncultured bacterium
Lineage: Bacteria
Description: partial 16S ribosomal RNA
Rfam family: Bacterial small subunit ribosomal RNA
Source: RNAcentral
GACGAACGCUGGCGGCGCGCUUAACACAUGCAAGUCGAACGGAAAGGCCUGCUUUCCCUUGUGGAUUGCGGGUACUCGAGUGGCGAACGGGUGAGUAACACGUGAGUGAUCUGCCCCCAACUUGGGUAUAAGCCUGGGAAACUGGGUCUAAUUCCCGAUAGGACUGCAGGGUGGUGCCUGUGGUGGAAAACGAUUUUCUAGUGGUUGGGGAUGAGCUCGCGGCCUAUCAGCUUGUUGGUGGGGUAAUGGCCUACCAAGGCGGCGAUGGGUAGCCGGCCUGAGAGGGUGGACGGCCACAUUGGGACUGAGAUACGGCCCAGACUCCUACGGGAGGCAGCAGUGGGGAAUAUUGCACAAUGGGCGGAAGCCUGAUGCAGCGACGCCGCGUGGGGGAUGACGGCCUUCGGGUUGUAAACUCCUUUCGACCGCGAGGAAGCCACCUGGUUGGAAGGGUGGUGACGGUAGUGGUAGAAGAAGCACCGGCUAACUACGU